RNAcentral lists this ribosomal RNA (232 nucleotides) under Blautia faecis. Its description in RNAcentral is "partial 16S ribosomal RNA". It matches the Rfam family "Bacterial small subunit ribosomal RNA", at positions 1 to 214 of the family's 1533-position model. The record is from RNAcentral. Lineage: Bacteria; Bacillati; Bacillota; Clostridia; Lachnospirales; Lachnospiraceae.
UUUAUCAGAGAGUUUGAUCCUGGCUCAGGAUGAACGCUGGCGGCGUGCUUAACACAUGCAAGUCGAACGGGAAACAUUUUAUUGAAGCUUCGGCAGAUUUAGCUUGUUUCUAGUGGCGGACGGGUGAGUAACGCGUGGGUAACCUGCCUUAUACUGGGGGAUAACAGCCAGAAAUGACUGCUAAUACCGCAUAAGCGCACAGAACCGCAUGGUUCGGUGUGAAAAACUCCGG